UACGCCCCGAGAUGAGUAGGAGGGUCGCCGCGGUGCGCCUGGAAGCCUGGGGCGCGGGCCCGGGUGGAGCCGCCGCGGGUGCAGAUCUUGGUGGUAGUAGCAAGUAUUCAAGCGAGAUCCUUGAAGGGCGAAGUGGGGAAGGGUUUCACGCGAACAUUGAUUGGGCGUGAGUGAGUCGUUCCUAAGCCGAGUGGCAAUUGCUAAUUAACGGCGAAAGGGAAGCGGGUUGACAUUCCCGCACACGGAUGUGGAGGCGGCGACGCAUUAUUGGGGCGAACACGCUGGCGAUGGCGCUGGGCAGAGUUGUCUUUUCUGUUUGACCGCUUGCGCACGCAGUGUGGAAUCCGCUUGUCGGGAGAAACACGCGUGUACGGGCAGAGCGCUGGGGCUUUUCCAGCGUCCAGCUCGCCAUCGACGGCCCUUGAAACUUUGCCUGCUGAAUUUAAGAUCCACGCCGUGGCGUACCGAUCACCGCAUCAGGUCCCCAAGGUGAACAGCCUCUGCUCAAUAUGAAAAAUGCAGGUAAGGGAAGUCGGCAAAAUAGAUCCGUGUAACUUCGGGAUAAGGAUUGGCUCUAAGGGCUGGGUCGGUCGGGCUGGGGUGCGAAGCGGGGCUGGGCGCGAGCCGCGGCUGGGCGAGGCGCCGCCCCGUGCCCCCCCUCCCGCCGCCGCUGGAAAGGGCCCCCGCGGCGCCCGUCGCCGCCCUUCCUUCCUCUUCUCUCCGAGAAGGGGAAGUGUGGAGCGCGCGGCGGCGUCACCGGGGGACUCCCGGAAGGCGGGCCGGCGAGAGGGGUGGGUCGGCAGGCGGCGGCGACUCUGGACGCGCGCCGGGCCCUUCUCGCGGAUCACCCCAGCUGCGGCGCGCGCCGGCGGCCGUUCACGCGGCCCGUCCGGCGCGUCGCCUCGGCCGGCGCCUAGCAGCUGACUCAGAACUGGUGCGGACCAGGGGAAUCCGACUGUUUAAUUAAAACAAAGCAUCGCGAAGGCCCGCGGCUGGUGUUGACGCGAUGUGAUUUCUGCCAAGUGCUCUGAAUGUCAAAGUGAAGCAAUUUAAAUGAAGCGCGGGUAAACGGCGGGAGUAUUAUGACUCUCUUAAGGGAGCCAAAACCUCGUCACUAAUUAGAUGACGCGCAUGAAUGGAUGAACGAGAUUCCCCCUCUGUCCCUGUCUACUAUCUCCAGCGAGACCAAGCCAAGGGAACCGGCCUCGGCAAAAUCGGCGGGGAAAGAAGACCCUGUUGAGCUUGACUCUAGUCUGGCACUGUGAAAGACAUGAGAGGUGUAGAAUAAGUGGGAGGCCUCGGCCGCCGGUGAAAUACAACUACUCCUCGUUUUUUUCACUUACCCGGUGAGGCGGGGAGGCGAGCCCCCGGCGGGCUCUCGCUUCUGGUGUCAGGCGGCGGGGGAGCGAUCCCGACCCGGGCGCGCAACCCGCGCGUGGUCAGUGGGAGGGGGGGGGGUUGGCUGGGGCGGUACACCUGUCAAAACGGUAACGCAGGUGGUCCUAAGGCGACUCAGGGAGGACAGAAACCUCCCGUGGAAGCAGAAGGGCAAAAGGCUCCUUGAUCUUGGAUUUUUCAGUAUGAAUACAGACCGUAAAGCGGGCCUCACGAUCCUUCUGACUUUUUGGGUUUUAAGCACAGGGUGUCAGAAAAGUUACCCCACAANNNNNNNNUCAAAAAGGCGACGUCGCUUAUGAACGCUUGGCUGCCCAAAAGCCA
RNAcentral lists this ribosomal RNA (1719 nucleotides) under Anguilla anguilla (European eel). RNAcentral's name for it is "eukaryotic LSU rRNA". It matches the Rfam family "Eukaryotic large subunit ribosomal RNA", at positions 1366 to 2985 of the family's 3401-position model. Lineage: Eukaryota; Metazoa; Chordata; Actinopteri; Anguilliformes; Anguillidae. The record is from RNAcentral.